Small nuclear RNA from Jaculus jaculus (lesser Egyptian jerboa), 107 nucleotides. The record is from Ensembl. Lineage: Eukaryota; Metazoa; Chordata; Mammalia; Rodentia; Dipodidae.
AUGCUCUCUUUAACAUCACAUAUACUAAAGUUAGAAUGAUGCAGAGAAGAUUAGAAUGGCCCCUGCACAAGGAUUUCACGCAAAUUUGUGACUCAUUCAAUAUUUUU